AAAAGAAUGGUUAAGGUAGGCUGGGUGUGGUCUGGCCUGGCCAGAUGGCAGAGCCACACCUGGCUCAUGUUAACUUUCAUAUUAACAGGUUUUGAUUAUCACCUAACCAGAUACAAUAUGUAAAAAUCUUUUUUUUUUUCUUUACAGGAGACUUAAUGGAGCAUUUAGUUGCCCAUCCUGAAUUCAAGAUGCUGAGUGUUCGUAACAUUCCUCACAUGUCUGAGAACUCAUUGGCAUACAGCACAUUUACCUGGGCUGGCCUCCUCAAGCACUUGAGACAGAUGCUCAUUUCUAAUGCAAAGAUGGAAGAAGGAAUUGAUUGGCAAGUACGGCCUCCUUUAUCAGGACUCCCUCCUCUUGGUAAAAUGUCUCUCAGCAAAGACCUGCAUUUUAACACUUCCAUUGCUAACUUGGUCAUUCUUCGUGGGAAAGAUGUGCAAAGUGCAGAUGUGGACAGAGUCUUGCUCUGUCACCAGGCUGGGGUGUAGU
This is a long non-coding RNA of Sapajus apella (tufted capuchin), 489 nucleotides long. RefSeq lists it as uncharacterized. NCBI's taxonomy places the organism in Eukaryota, Metazoa, Chordata, Mammalia, Primates, Cebidae. The transcript is spliced from 3 exons. The record is from RefSeq and is a predicted model, not a curated record.